This 253-nucleotide ribosomal RNA is filed under the name uncultured bacterium. RNAcentral describes it as "partial 16S ribosomal RNA". It matches the Rfam family "Bacterial small subunit ribosomal RNA", at positions 524 to 776 of the family's 1533-position model. The record is from RNAcentral.
UACGGAGGGAGCUAGCGUUGUUCGGAUAUACUGGGCGUAAAGCGCACGUAGGCGGCGCAGCAAGUCAGGGGUGAAAUCCCGGAGCUCAACUCCGGAACUGCCCUUGAAACUGCAGUGCUAGAAUUUGGAGAGGCGAGUGGAAUUCCUGGUGUAGCGGUGAAAUGCGUAGAUAUCAGGAGGAACACCUGUGGCGAAAGCGGCUCACUGGACCAUAACUGACGCUGAUGCACGAAAGCUAGGGGGAGCAAACGGG